This 461-nucleotide ribosomal RNA is filed under the name uncultured Allobrachymonas sp. RNAcentral describes it as "bacterial SSU rRNA". It matches the Rfam family "Bacterial small subunit ribosomal RNA", at positions 917 to 1381 of the family's 1533-position model. The record is from RNAcentral. Lineage: Bacteria; Pseudomonadati; Pseudomonadota; Betaproteobacteria; Burkholderiales; Comamonadaceae.
GACGGGACCGCACAAGCGGUGGAUGAUGUGGUUUAAUUCGAUGCAACGACGAAAACCUUACCCACCUUGACAUGGCAGGAAUCCCGAAGAGAUUGGAGUGCUCGAAAGAGAACCUGCACACAGGUGCUGCAUGGCUGUCGUCAGCUCGUGUCGUGAGAUGUUGGGUUAAGUCCCGCAACGAGCGCAACCCUUGCCAUUAGUUGCUACGAAAGGGCACUCUAAUGGGACUGCCGGUGACAAACCGGAGGAAGGUGGGGAUGACGUCAAGUCCUCAUGGCCCUUAUAGGUGGGGCUACACACGUCAUACAAUGGCCGGUACAGAGGGUAGCCAACCCGCGAGGGGGAGCCAAUCCCACAAAGCCGGUCGUAGUCCGGAUCGCAGUCUGCAACUCGACUGCGUGAAGUCGGAAUCGCUAGUAAUCGCGGAUCAGCAUGUCGCGGUGAAUACGUUCCCGGGUCUU